GACGAACGCUGGCGGCGUGCCUAAUACAUGCAAGUUGAGCGCUGAAGGUUGGUACUUGUACCGACUGGAUGAGCAGCGAACGGGUGAGUAACGCGUGGGGAAUCUGCCUUUGAGCGGGGGACAACAUUUGGAAACGAAUGCUAAUACCGCAUAAAAACUUUAAACACAAGUUUUAAGUUUGAAAGAUGCAAUUGCAUCACUCAAAGAUGAUCCCGCGUUGUAUUAGCUAGUUGGUGAGGUAAAGGCUCACCAAGGCGAUGAUACAUAGCCGACCUGAGAGGGUGAUCGGCCACAUUGGGACUGAGACACGGCCCAAACUCCUACGGGAGGCAGCAGUAGGGAAUCUUCGGCAAUGGACGAAAGGCUGACCGAGCAACGCCGCGUGAGUGAAGAAGGUUGUCGGAUCGUAAAACUCUGUUGGUAGAGAAGAACGUUGGUGAGAGUGGAAAGCUCAUCAAGUGACGGUAACUACCCAGAAAGGGACGGCUAACUACGUG
This 497-nucleotide ribosomal RNA is filed under the name uncultured bacterium. Its description in RNAcentral is "partial 16S ribosomal RNA". It matches the Rfam family "Bacterial small subunit ribosomal RNA", at positions 28 to 507 of the family's 1533-position model. The record is from RNAcentral.